GGGGGUGCCCGGUUUUGACAGCAGGCUGAGGUUGAUGGUAAGCACGUCGAGCGCUGUGUGGCGGCUCGUUAAUCCCGAUGCUCAAAAAUUAGUUGGCAACAACAAUUACGCACUCGCUGCCUAAUUUCUAGGAAAUUGAGGCUUAAUCGCAGAGGCCAAGGCUGCCUUAGCGACGAGUAUCCCGAGGGGCUGUUCCACUCUUUAACGGCUCUUCAUACGGGGUAUCAUUCAUUUAGAGAUAGUUCGACGGAGGGCUUCGGCCGUUGGGCGAAAUUUUAGAAGCUGGGCCGUGUGUUUGGUUGUUGCCUACCGGAUGCGCGGAGAAGGACUAAACGGUAACUAAACGUGUAGAAAGCCUUCGGGCUCCCUGUUUGGACGCGGGUUCGACUCCCGCCACCUCCACAC
Molecule: transfer-messenger RNA, 405 nt
Filed under: Rikenellaceae bacterium
Lineage: Bacteria; Pseudomonadati; Bacteroidota; Bacteroidia; Bacteroidales; Rikenellaceae
Rfam family: transfer-messenger RNA
About the family: Bacterial tmRNA, also known as 10Sa RNA or SsrA, is named for its dual tRNA and mRNA-like properties. Its role is to liberate the mRNA from a stalled ribosome. To accomplish this part of the tmRNA is used as a reading frame that ends in a translation stop signal.
Source: RNAcentral